GUGCUUGCUUUGACAGCACAUAUUCUAAAAAUUGGAAUAAUAGAGAGAAGAUUAGCAUGGCCCCUGUGCAAAGAUUACGUACAAAUUCAUGAAGUGCUCCAUAUUUUC
This 108-nucleotide small nuclear RNA is filed under the name Castor canadensis (American beaver). The record is from RNAcentral. Lineage: Eukaryota; Metazoa; Chordata; Mammalia; Rodentia; Castoridae.